RNAcentral lists this ribosomal RNA (446 nucleotides) under uncultured bacterium. RNAcentral describes it as "bacterial SSU rRNA". It matches the Rfam family "Bacterial small subunit ribosomal RNA", at positions 329 to 792 of the family's 1533-position model. The record is from RNAcentral.
CACCAGACUCCUACGGGAGGCAGCAGUGGGGAAUAUUGCACAAUGGGGGAAACCCUGAUGCAGCGACGCCGCGUGAGCGAUGAAGUAUUUCGGUAUGUAAAGCUCUAUCAGCAGGGAAGAAGAUGACGGUACCUGACUAAGAAGCCCCGGCUAACUACGUGCCAGCAGCCGCGGUAAUACGUAGGGGGCAAGCGUUAUCCGGAUUUACUGGGUGUAAAGGGAGCGUAGACGGCGAUGCAAGCCAGAUGUGAAAGCCCGGGGCUCAACCCCGGGACUGCAUUUGGAACUGUGUGGCUGGAGUGUCGGAGAGGCAGGCGGAAUUCCUAGUGUAGCGGUGAAAUGCGUAGAUAUUAGGAGGAACACCAGUGGCGAAGGCGGCCUGCUGGACGAUGACUGACGUUGAGGCUCGAAAGCGUGGGGAGCAAACAGGAUUAGAUACCCCUGUA